Molecule: non-coding RNA, 50 nt
Filed under: Streptomyces sp. NRRL S-87
Lineage: Bacteria; Bacillati; Actinomycetota; Actinomycetes; Kitasatosporales; Streptomycetaceae
Description: L31-Actinobacteria ribosomal protein leader
Rfam family: L31-Actinobacteria ribosomal protein leader
Source: RNAcentral
UCGGCUCCGGUUCACGCCGUGGGCAAUUCCGCCCCCUGCGACCCGGCGCC